CUUGUAAAGAGGAAGGCUUUGCAAGGAGAAACGUAGCUGCUGCUGCUGCUUGUGUCGUAUUUGUGGUUGAUGUGUGUGUGUGUGUGUGUGUGUGUGUAUGUCACUGGGAAGGCGGCAAUGACAAGGCAGUCACUGACAAUCUCAAUUCCUUGGCACAACCUAGAACAUUUGGAUUGCUCAGAAGUCCAAAUAUAGCGCUUCCCAAGAGCAUUUGUGUAUUUUAAGCGAGAGUGACUGCCCCUUCUUCAUCCCCAUCUCAAA
This is a long non-coding RNA of Spea bombifrons (plains spadefoot toad), 261 nucleotides long. RefSeq lists it as uncharacterized. Lineage: Eukaryota; Metazoa; Chordata; Amphibia; Anura; Pelobatidae. The record is from RefSeq and is a predicted model, not a curated record. The transcript is spliced from 2 exons.